AUGUAAUGUAAUUCCUACAUUGUUAAUGCACUAGAUCCUAGUAGAACUCCCCAGUUAAGUGCACUUGGGAUAGAGUAGUACUAGGAUGGGUGACCUUCGAGGAAGUCUUAGUGUUUUACAUA
This is a non-coding RNA of Picea glauca (white spruce), 122 nucleotides long. Lineage: Eukaryota; Viridiplantae; Streptophyta; Pinopsida; Pinales; Pinaceae. The record is from Rfam.